UGCAGCUACUGUUUCAACUUUGAAAGCACCGUCGCGCAGCUCGGUUCCAUUGUCGCCGGGCUUGCCUCCUUUUUCCGUGGCGCAGCUCUGUUCCAUCGUCACCGGCGCUAUCUCUGUUCCACCUGUCAUCCCUUCGGUCGUGCCUUGUCCCCCUCUUGCUCAGGAUCUGCUCUGCUCUGUUCUAGGGCUUCUAGCUUCUAGGCUGUGUUUGAUGAGGAUGAGGAAGAUAAAUACAAGGAAAGGAAUUCGGAAAAUAGUUUGAAGA
This is a non-coding RNA of Arachis ipaensis, 265 nucleotides long. NCBI's taxonomy places the organism in Eukaryota, Viridiplantae, Streptophyta, Magnoliopsida, Fabales, Fabaceae. The record is from RefSeq and is a predicted model, not a curated record.